AGAGUUUGAUCCUGGCUCAGGAUGAACGCCGGCGGCAUGCCUAACACAUGCAAGUCGAACGGGGUUUAUAUAACAGAACUCUCCGGAGGGAAGAUAUAUAAACCUAGUGGCGGACGGGUGAGUAACGCGUGGGCAACCUGCCCUGUACCGGGGGACAACAGCCAGAAAUGGCUGCUAAUACCGCAUAAGCCUGCGGUGCCGCAUGGCACAGCAGGGAAAACCACGGUGGUACAGGAUGGGCCCGCGUCUGAUUAGUUAGUUGGCAGGGUAACGGCCUACCAAGACGAUGAUCAGUAGCCGGCUUGAGAGAGUGGACGGCCACAUUGGGACUGAGACACGGCCCAGACUCCUGCGGGAGGCAGCAGUGGGGAAUAUUGCACAAUGGGGGGAACCCUGAUGCAGCAAUGCCGCGUGGGUGAAGAAGCACUCCGGUGCGUAAAGCCCUGUCAGCAGGGAAGAAAAUGACAGUACCUGACCAAGAAGCCCCGGCUAACUACGUGCCAGCAGCCGCGGUAAUACGUAGGGGGCAAGCGUUAUCCGGAUUUACUGGGUGUAAAGGGAGCGCAGGCGGUAUGGCAAGUCAGAUGUGAAAACCCAGGGCCCAACCCUGGAACUGCAUUUGAAACUGCCAUACUGGAGUGCCGGAGAGGUAAGUGGAAUUCCUAGUGUAGCGGUGAAAUGCGUAGAAUUUAGGAGGAACACCAGUGGCGAAGGCGGCUUACUUGGACGGUAACUGACCGCUGAAGGCUCGAAAAGCGGGGGGAGCAAACAGGAUUAGAUACCCUGUAGUCCACGCUGUAAACGAUGAAUACCAGGGGGCCGGGUACCUAAUUACCUCGGGGCCGCAGCUAACGCAAUAUGUUUUCCACGUGGGGAGUGUGUUCGCGAGAGUGAAACUAAAAGGAAGUGGCGGGGACCCGCACAAGCGGUGGAGCAUGUGGUUUAAUUAGAAGCAACGAGAAGCACUUUCACGUGUCUAGAUAUCUUUGUGAAAGGCCUGUAGGGGGGCCCGGCUUUCGGCACAGAAGAGACAGGUGGCGCAUGGUUGUUGUCAGCUCGUGUCGUGAGAUGUUGGGUUAAGUCGCGCAAAGAGCGCAACCCAUAUCCACAGUAGCCAGCAGUCUUUUGGGCUCUGUGUGGAGAGUCACAGGGAGAACGUGGAGGAAGGGGGGGAUGGUGUAAUAUUAUCAUGCCCCUUAUGAUUUGGGAUACACACGUGAUACAAUGGUGUAAACAGAGGGAGGAGAAGGAGAUAUCGGGAGCAAACCCCAGAAAUAAUGUCACAUUUGGGAUCACAGGGCGCACCCCGCGCGCAUGAAGGGGGAAUCUAUAGUAAUCGGGGAUCAGAAUGCCGCGGAGAAUAUUUUCCGGUGUCUUGCACACACC
Molecule: ribosomal RNA, 1386 nt
Filed under: uncultured bacterium
Lineage: Bacteria
Description: 16S ribosomal RNA
Rfam family: Bacterial small subunit ribosomal RNA
Source: RNAcentral